AUAAUUUAUUAUUUCAUAAAAGUUACAUUAAAUGAAUUACUCACAAUUAAUGAAUGAUUUAGAGCUUGUAUUUUCAAAUAUCAAUGGAGAAAAUAAUAUUACAAAAAGAAAAAAAUAAUUUAAAUCGAAUAUAUUAAUAUGUAAUAUUACAAAAAGAAUUUGUGUAAUUUUCUGGUCUUGAUGAAUGGUGUGAAAAAAGCUUUAUUCCGACAUCCAAAUUGUCAGUCUCGGAAGACCAGUUGUGAGAAAGCUUUGCACAGAAUGAUCCACAAGAUAAGGCUGGUCGCAGCACUGAAAACAAACACUUAAUAAGCACAAGUUAAAAAGGCAAAUAUUUCUUCAAAAUCAUAGCAACCAAGCCAAGUAAAUGACAGAGCAUAUAAUAAAAGAUCAUCAGCUGACUCGAUCACAAUACUGCUCAAUUUGCACACUGGAAAGCCGGACAGGAACACAAUAUUCAGCAAAUAUAGACGUGCCAACAACCUCCAUGUGUAGGUAAUAUGUUGAAGUAUCAUUUAAAGACACUGUUAAAACCUGCCUAACUCGAUGGUCAUUCACACAGAUUUCUUCAUCACAUCAUUAAUGCAUCUAUGUUAAAUAAAUAUCACCACAAAUAAUGUUAACAAGUCUGAAGCAGAUUAUGCAAUAUACUAAUGUUUCUUAAACAGAAAGCCAAUCCCUGUUGAGCUUCUAACUUUUGAAAGUCAUUCAUUUAUGACAACGGAAGCUCAAAUCUUAGCUUGGUCAACUAACUAGGAGAAGAUGUCUCUCUGACCUACUGCUAAUGCAUGUAUCUCUUUGAUUGUACAUCAUUAAUUCGCAACAGUCAUUACAUCAUUAAUUUAUGACUUCAAUUAUUACCUAGAAAUAAAAAGCAGUUACCAUGUGGUUUCUGACUGUACAUCUAAAGACAAAACAUUUGCGUUUCAAGGUACCCAACUCUACUUGAUUCCUCUCAUUUUCAAUCAAGCGAAAUCUCGAGCUAUAUUGCAGAAAAGCAGAAGAAUGAUGCAUGUAAAUCUUAGUUUUCACAAGGGAACUGAUAAAUGCAUUCAAUAUUUCACCAAAUGCAGUCAACUGUAGAAUACAACUUUUUCUUUAACCUUGCAGUGGAGUACAUCCAGUCAAAAGUGCAGGGCAUUUAACAUCUCCAUUUUUACAAUAGCUUCAGUGCCUUUAUAACAAAAACAAACCAAACUCCAACGGUACUGUUCAUAAAUAACCAAUUAUCUCACCCGUUCAACAAAUAUCACUGUCUGGAAUGCCUUCCACUUUGGUAACAGAUUAGCAUCCUAAAUCAUCAAAUCAACACUUCAAGAAGAAAUGGUAAGACAAGUACUUGCAAGGAAGACAAGUUUUAUCCUAACAACAGAACGUCAAUAAACUGUAACUAUAAUCACUUACUAAAAACAAAAACAAUAAUGCUACAAACACGGUGUGCUUGAAAAAGGAGUAGAAGAUUUACAAAAUUCUCUGGAUAUAUCAUACCUUGUCCUUGUCCUGGAUAUCAGGCAUCGAAAAGCUCAAGUCCAGCUUAGCUACCUCAUUAGGUGGAGACAACUAGUAGCAAGUCAACCAAAAAUGGGUUAGGAAAGUAUAAAAGUUCCAUAGAUAAGGAAUGUUAACAAAAACUCCGAAUACAUCAGUGCUGUAAAAUAUCAGACUAGAAAAUCAUAUCUAUGAGUCAAAAAAACAUACAGUUACACUAAACAGAGAAACAAAACAAAAAUACCUGGUCAAUCGCUUAAGGGUUUUGACGAUUUGACAGAUGAAUCGCACGAAAAAGGAGAGAGGCUCGCAAUCGAUCAGAAAUCGCAGUAGGGUCAGAUUAUCACAGCAGGAGAGAGAGUUUACUCGAAAUCGCAGCAGAUGAUGGAAUCACACAUAGAAGGGUUUGGUUUAGAGGAUUCGCUUGAAAUCGAAAUCGCAGCAGGUUUUAGGAAUCGAAAUCGCAACAGAAAUCGGUUUAGGAACUGAAAUCGCAUUACAUAUCGUAUCAGUCGCAGGGGUUCGCAGCAGUCGCAGAGGUUCGCAACAGUCGCAGCAGAAAUCGGUUUAGGGAGGGAGGGUUUAUGCGAAGUCCAGCAGUCGCAGAGGUUCGCAACAGUCGCAGCAGAAAUCGGUUUAGGGAGGGAGGGAGGGUUUAUGCGAAGUCGCAGGGAGGGUUUAUGCGAAGUGCAGAUCUGAUAUUAGAUAGAGAUCCGCUACUUCAAUUAGCGGAUUUGAGGAGGGCAAAUUAGACUUAAACUUUUGUUUUCAUAGUCCGCCACUUCGUCUAGCGAA
Molecule: long non-coding RNA, 2283 nt
Filed under: Panax ginseng (ginseng)
Lineage: Eukaryota; Viridiplantae; Streptophyta; Magnoliopsida; Apiales; Araliaceae
Description: long non-coding RNA (PGIN_LNC011352)
Source: RNAcentral